UGGAGGACACGUUCUUUGUACAUUCCUUUUACCGAGUAAAAUGACAGAGUUUGCAUGUUUUCAUGUUUCUGGACUGUAAAAAUUGUUCAAAUUAAAUAUUUCUAGUAGUGUGUGAGAACUUGGCCUACAUAUUCAAAAGACAUUUCACGAUGAAAAAAGGAACUAAAUAGGAAUUUUUCAAAAUGUCUGAAUGUCUAAAAUAGUAAUAAAAUGUGUUGUUGUU
Saccostrea echinata is the source of this 223-nucleotide long non-coding RNA. RefSeq lists it as uncharacterized. The transcript has 2 exons. The record is from RefSeq and is a predicted model, not a curated record. NCBI's taxonomy places the organism in Eukaryota, Metazoa, Mollusca, Bivalvia, Ostreida, Ostreidae.